CCUACGGGAGGCAGCAGUGGGGAAUAUUGGACAAUGGGGGCAACCCUGAUCCAGCGACGCCGCGUGUGUGAAGAAGGCCUGCGGGUUGUAAAGCACUUUUAGUGGGGACAAAAAGCCACGGGCUAAUACCUUGUGGUCUUGAUUUAACCCAAAGAAAAAGCACCGGCUAACUCUGUGCCAGCAGCCGCGGUAAUACAGAGGGUGCGAGCGUUAAUCGGAAUUACUGGGCGUAAAGCGUGCGCAGGCGGUUCGCUAAGUCUGAUGUGAAAGCCCCGGGCUCAACCUGGGAACUGCAUUGGAAACUGGCGAGCUUGAGUGUGGCAGAGGGGGGUGGAAUUCCCCGUGUAGCAGUGAAAUGCGUAGAGAUGUGGAGGAACACCGAUGGCGAAGGCAGCCCCCUGGGCUAACACUGACGCUCAGGCACGAAAGCGUGGGGAGCAAACAGGAUUAGAUACCCUUGUANUC
RNAcentral lists this ribosomal RNA (465 nucleotides) under uncultured bacterium. RNAcentral describes it as "bacterial SSU rRNA". It matches the Rfam family "Bacterial small subunit ribosomal RNA", at positions 338 to 795 of the family's 1533-position model. The record is from RNAcentral.